UACGGAGGGUGCGAGCGUUAUCCGGAAUUAUUGGGCGUAAAGGGCUCGCAGGCGGUUUGCCACGUCUGCUGUGAAAGCCCGGGGCUUAACUCCGGGUGUGCAGUGGGUACGGGUAGACUAGAGUGCAGUAGGGGAGACUGGAAUUCCUGGUGUAGCGGUGAAAUGCGCAGAUAUCAGGAAGAACACCGAUGGCGAAGGCAGGUCUCUGGGCUGUUACUGACGCUGAGGAGCGAAAGCAUGGGGAGCGAACAGG
This 253-nucleotide unclassified non-coding RNA is filed under the name uncultured Micrococcaceae bacterium. RNAcentral describes it as "contains 16S-23S intergenic spacer region". It matches the Rfam family "Bacterial small subunit ribosomal RNA", at positions 524 to 776 of the family's 1533-position model. The record is from RNAcentral. Lineage: Bacteria; Bacillati; Actinomycetota; Actinomycetes; Micrococcales; Micrococcaceae.